GCCGGUGUGGUGGAAUGGCAGACACAAGGGACUUAAAAUCCCUCGGCAUAACAACCGUGCGGGUUCGACCCCCGCCACCGGCACCA
RNAcentral lists this transfer RNA (86 nucleotides) under Clostridiales bacterium. RNAcentral's name for it is "tRNA-Leu". It matches the Rfam family "tRNA". Rfam says of the family: Transfer RNA (tRNA) molecules are approximately 80 nucleotides in length. Their secondary structure includes four short double-helical elements and three loops (D, anti-codon, and T loops). Further hydrogen bonds mediate the characteristic L-shaped molecular structure. tRNAs have two regions of fundamental functional importance: the anti-codon, which is responsible for specific mRNA codon recognition, and the 3' end, to which the tRNAs corresponding amino acid is attached (by aminoacyl-tRNA synthetases). tRNAs cope with the degeneracy of the genetic code in two manners: having more than one tRNA (with a specific anti-codon) for a particular amino acid; and 'wobble' base-pairing, i.e. permitting non-standard base-pairing at the 3rd anti-codon position. The record is from RNAcentral. RNAcentral also lists the same sequence under 1 other name. Lineage: Bacteria; Bacillati; Bacillota; Clostridia; Eubacteriales.